GUGCUCACAUUGGCAGCGCAUAUACUAAAAAUGGAACGAUACAGAGAGAUGUGUGGCCCCUGUGCAAGGAUGACACACAAGUCUGUCAAGCAGUCCUUAUUUUU
Fukomys damarensis (Damara mole-rat) is the source of this 104-nucleotide small nuclear RNA. The record is from Ensembl. Lineage: Eukaryota; Metazoa; Chordata; Mammalia; Rodentia; Bathyergidae.